Molecule: unclassified non-coding RNA, 528 nt
Filed under: Hevea brasiliensis (rubber tree)
Lineage: Eukaryota; Viridiplantae; Streptophyta; Magnoliopsida; Malpighiales; Euphorbiaceae
Source: RNAcentral
AACACGAGUUGGAAAUCAAUGUUGGUAAGAAAAGACGAGUACAUGAAUCUGAUAUGAAUAGCUUGGUUUACCUCAAAGCCAUUAUCAAGGAAACGCUGCGUUUAUACCCUGCUGCACCGCUUUCUUUGCCGCAUGAAUCCAUGGAGGACUGCACUGUAGCUGGCUACCAUAUUCCAGCAGGCACAAGACUACUUAUUAAUCUUAGCAAGAUUCAUCGUGAUCCAAGGGUGUGGUCCAAACCUUCUGAAUUCCAACCCGAACGAUUUCUUACGAUUCACAAAGAUUAUGAUGUUAGGGGACAAAACUUUGAACUUAUACCGUUUGGCAGUGGAAGAAGGAUAUGCCCUGGUGUCUCUUUUGCGCUUCAUGUUUUGCAAUUAACUCUAGCUACGUUGCUACAGGGGUUUGAUUUUGCAAAUCCAACAAGCAAGCCGUUUGAUAUGAGUGAGAGCAAUGGAUUAACCAGCUUAAGAGCAACCCCACUUGAAUGCCUCCUUAGUCCUCGCCUUCAAUCUCAUCUCUAUCAAU